Molecule: long non-coding RNA, 2608 nt
Filed under: Podarcis lilfordi (Lilford's wall lizard)
Lineage: Eukaryota; Metazoa; Chordata; Lepidosauria; Squamata; Lacertidae
Source: RNAcentral
CUGUGAUGUCACAAAAGCACAUGGCAACUGAGUGGAUAUAAACAUGGUCCAAGGGGAAAGGCUUUCUCCCUUCCCUAACUGUUAAAUAGUGGGUACAUAACACUAACGGAUCACAGCAGGUAACAGCUGUGGCAUUCAGGACUCCUGGAUUUCACAUGGAAUUAACAGACAGAAUGAGGAGAUCAUCCAGCAGCAAGUUGCUAUGGAGUGCUAGAAAGCAAGUUUGCUUGCUGAGUGGGAUUGCAGCAUGGAGGGGGCCGAUACCCAUGGUUGGAAGCUGUCUGGAGCCUGGCGAUGGACUUAGUGGAAACUGGCAGAUGUUGGUGGGUGGAAGCUGGUGGAGUUCACAUUUGGAAGCUAGUGGGUGGCACAAGGCUGAAGCAGGUUGUUGCUUGCACAUGUAAGAGUGCUGGCAUUUACCUUCAGAAGCUGGCUGACAUGAACUGUGCAGAUAUUUGCGUAUUGAACUGAGAGUGGCUGACGAGCGAAUGUGUCUGUUGGCGUACUUCCUGGAAGUCAGCCAUUGUGUGUGUGUCUGUGUGUGUGACUGGGAGGUUUUGAAUGUGGUCAAAACAAAUGGUGUGCUCGGGUUCGUUCAGGGGGCGGUGGUGGUCACCCUGCAGACACAAGAUAAAUGGAUGAGCCUAUGGACGUUCAUGGGUAGAAGCCGGUGGAAGCAGGCAGGCUGAGGCUAGGUAUGAAGUUGCUAGUCAGAAGCCAAUGAAGAUGUCUGUUGGAUAGUAGCCAUCCCUCUCACUGUGCCUGUGUUUGCUUUCCAGGAUGCCUGAAAAUGGGAAGGCUUUUCUCGAGGCCACCUGUGGAAGUAAUGAAGAGAACCACAGGGCUUAAGCCAGCCAGCUUCUAUUUCUAAAGAAAUGUCUUUCUAAAUACACUGUUCAUUACACCUUCCCCAACCUCCCACAAGAGGAAUACUGGGAGGCUGUUCAGGUGCUUCUCCAGCUGUUGCCAUUGGCUCUGGACUGCCUGUGAUGUCACAACAGGACAUGGUGGCUGAGGAGAAAGAGACAUGGCAGCUGAGGGAGGGAGCAACCACAGGAGGAAGGGACUCAUGGGAAGCUGGGUCACAUGACCAUUUGACACAGAAAGGAAAUCUGGGUUGACUCCCUCCUGUCUACUUAGGUUGCCAAGACAUUAUACUCUUGGGGCUCCUGUAUCCUGUCAUUGGCUUCACCUACUGUUGGGUUCCUUGACUUCUGUUCCCAUUGGGCAUCAGCCACCACUGCUGGAAGGCCAUGUCUGGCCUGAAGUAGCCCCUGCCUGAUUUACAGUCAUUUAUGCGCCACUCUUCAGGUUACAAAUCUUUCUGAGGCAGCUUACAAAUAAUGUCAGAAACAUUUGAAAACUGCAGUAAUUGAUAUUGACAUGUGUAUACCAAUAUCAGGAUCCUUCCCACAGAGCAAUUGGUGAUAGGUGGCUCUGUGGGUGAAGAGGGUGGCGGUUAAGCUGGAGUAAACCCUGAGGUCUUCUUCAACCGCCUGCCUGCCUCCCUCCUUCCCUCUCUCCUGCAAUCCUUACAAGUUUUUGAGUAUUAGGAAACAUUUGGUACAGCUCAGCUGUGAGAGAAAAUAAUUGUCAGCUCUCAAGUAACUAAGCAGGUGGCACAUGAAGGGAACAGGUUGUGCACGUAUUCUUGUGUGUAUUAAGAGAGAGAGAGAGAGAGAGAGAGAGACUCUUUUCUAAAGGAAAGAAAACUGCACAGGUCCAAGAGUGAGAUCUAGAAGAAAAUUCUUGCUGUGCUAUGACUAUGCAGAAACCCCUAUGGUAAGAACAUGACAUUAAAAUUGCAGGUUCGUGCUAGCAUAGGCUACUAUAAGGCUAUACCCAGGAGCUCUUUACAAUGCAUUUCCCUGUCACUUUCCUACCUGCAAAAAGUUUUUUUAAAAAAACAAAACAAAACUGGGUUUAUUACACUAGGGUAACAGAGUGCUUUAAUUGCACAAAUGCCAGUUUCCCAAUACAUGCUUGAAUCCCUGCAAAAUAUUGACUGGCGAUGUCAGUAGUUUUUAUUAAUAGUUUUUAUUAAUAGAAUCAUGAAUUGUAGAGUUGGAAGGGACCCUGAGGGUCAUCUAGUCCAACCCCCUGCAAUGCUAGAAUACAGCUCAAGCAACAUACUACGUCUGCUGAAUACCUGAUCCUAAACAUGGUUGCUUAUUGAAAGUAAGUUCCACUGAUUCCACUGAGUUUAACUUUCAAGGAAGUGUAUAUAUGGUUUCAGCCACUGUAAUCCGCCAUUUGUUUAGUUAUAUCUCCAGUUAAUCCCAGUUCACCCCAUUACUGUAACCCUGUUUAAAAAUGACCGUCCCAAGUUCUAAAUGCAAUUUUCCAAGUGUUUGUGAUGUGUGUGCGGGACAGGCAGACCUGCUGGCUUUAAUCUGCCUGCCUCCCACAAAUAUGGGAUCUGCUAUUAAGUGCUUUGCUGAACUGUGAUAUUUCCAGCAAAGUGAUGGAUGCAGAACUGGGGGUGUAAAUUUCAGGAAAAGGUCCCUGUUUACAGAGGUGUUUGGGCUGCGCAAGAAUCUCUGGAUUCCUAGUGACUCAUUGAGACAAAAUAGCCUUGAGUGUAUUAUUCUGCUGAUGUUCUCCCUGG